This is a microRNA precursor of Bos indicus x Bos taurus (hybrid cattle), 84 nucleotides long. Ensembl annotates it as microRNA 30c-2. Its record names the gene MIR30C2. The record is from Ensembl. NCBI's taxonomy places the organism in Eukaryota, Metazoa, Chordata, Mammalia, Artiodactyla, Bovidae.
GAGGGCCAGAUACUGUAAACACCCUACACUCUCAGCUGUGCACAGUGAGAAAGCUGGGAGAAGGCUGUUUACUCUCUCUGCCUU